CCCCUUGGUUCUGCCAUGUAUGAGUCUGGGGGAAAAACCUCUCCCUUCCUACUGCUUGCAUUUUUUAUUGUUCUGGAGGGAGCUCUCCAGAUAUAUAUUCUAAGGCCAGCACAAUUUGCCCCACCGACAAUCACCUCCACGUCUUAUUUUACACUUCUGAAGGACCCUUAUAUAUUAGUAGCAGC
Molecule: long non-coding RNA, 185 nt
Organism: Xenopus tropicalis (tropical clawed frog)
Lineage: Eukaryota; Metazoa; Chordata; Amphibia; Anura; Pipidae
Exons: 3
Source: RefSeq, a predicted model, not a curated record